RNAcentral lists this ribosomal RNA (603 nucleotides) under Triticum aestivum (bread wheat). Its description in RNAcentral is "partial small subunit ribosomal RNA". Lineage: Eukaryota; Viridiplantae; Streptophyta; Magnoliopsida; Poales; Poaceae. The record is from RNAcentral.
AUGUCAUGUAAAUAUCACUGGUAUGCUCGGGACCUAUACAAGGUGGAUCUAUCAUGGGGAAUCAAUGGAAGCUGUGGUACUGCCAAUGAUGAUGGUUAUGAAUCUGACGACUCUGAUGAUUUUAAGCUGUACAAUCAAUUUGUGUAUGAUGUGCUCGGAGCUCUCGUGGAUGACAUGGGCAGAACAUCUGGAAAUAAAGAAGAUGCAUCUGGUGGGUUGGACAUUUUUAAAAAUCUCAACAAAGAAGCGAUGAAACCCCUUGACGAGGGAUGUUGCACUAAGACACGGAUGAUGUUCAUUAUCAGGGUCCUUCAUAUCGAAACAUAUACCCGUAUGACCAACAGGAUAUUCAAUAUGUUUUUUCAGCUAUUGAGUCUUGCUUUGCCUAGGUGGAAUUUCGAAAAUCUUACGCUGAUGUUAAGAGAGUUCUUUCUGAUCUUGGUCCUCGUUAUCAAACAAUUCAUGUAUGCAAGUAUGACUACAUUUUGUAUUGGGGAGACCAUUCCAAUAGUACUCAUUGUCCCCACUAUGGUACAUCAAGGUGGAGACAUGUCGAUGGGAAGAAAAAGUUUCCUCACAAGAUGCUUCGAUACUUUCAAAUAA